This 267-nucleotide ribosomal RNA is filed under the name uncultured bacterium. RNAcentral describes it as "partial 16S ribosomal RNA". It matches the Rfam family "Bacterial small subunit ribosomal RNA", at positions 29 to 322 of the family's 1533-position model. The record is from RNAcentral.
AACGAACGCUGGCGGCAGGCCUAACACAUGCAAGUUGAACGCCCGUAGCAAUACGGGAGUGGCAGACGGGUGAGUAACGCGUGGGAACGUGCCCUUCGGUUUGGAAUAACUCAGGGAACUUGAGCUAAUACCAAAUACGUCCGUAAGGAGAAAGAUUUAUCGCCGAAGGAUCGGCCCGCGUCGGAUUAGCUAGUUGGUGAGGUAACGGCCCACCAAGGCGACGAUCCGUAGCUGGUCUGAGAGGAUGAUCAGCCACACUGGGACUGA